Molecule: ribosomal RNA, 416 nt
Filed under: uncultured bacterium
Lineage: Bacteria
Description: bacterial SSU rRNA
Rfam family: Bacterial small subunit ribosomal RNA
Source: RNAcentral
AACGAACGCUGGCGGCGUGCCUAACACAUGCAAGUCGUGCGAGAAAGUUCCUUCGGGAGCGAGUAAAGCGGCGCACGGGUGAGUAACACGUAGGUAACCUGCCCCCCAGUCUGGAACAACUAGAGGAAACUCUAGCUAAUGCCGGAUGAGACCACGAUCCCUUCGGGGGUUGCGGCCAAAGAUGGCCUCUACUUGUAAGCUAUCGCUGAGGGAUGGGCCUGCGGGCCAUUAGCUUGUUGGUGAGGUAACGGCUCACCAAGGCUGUGAUGGCUAGCUGGUCUGAGAGGAUGACCAGCCACACUGGGACUGAGACACGGCCCAGACUCCUACGGGAGGCAGCAGUGGGGAAUAUUGCGCAAUGGGCGAAAGCCUGACGCAGCGACGCCGCGUGGGUGAUGAAGGCCUCGGUCGUAAGA